Long non-coding RNA from Equus caballus (horse), 3322 nucleotides. Lineage: Eukaryota; Metazoa; Chordata; Mammalia; Perissodactyla; Equidae. The record is from Ensembl.
CCACAUAUAAGUGAAAUCGUAUAGUAUUUGUCCUUCUGUGUCUGACUUAUUUCACUUAGUGUAAUGCUCUCAGUUGGACAUUAUAAUAUAUAUGUAUAUAUAUCAUACGAUGUAUAAUAUAUAAUGCCCAAUGUUAUCACAAAUGGCAGGAUUUCCUUCUUUUUUUAUGGCUGAAUAAUGCUCCGUUGUGUAUAUGUAAACCCAUAGAAUCUUAAAUCCUGCAGCAAAGGAGUUCUGUUUGGGCAAACCCCUGGGAUGAAGAUCUUUUAAGGAGAAUGAAAGAGGUGAGCAAAGGUCAGAGGUUUCCUCUUGUAGUCUCUUAGCCCAAUUCUUGGAAGGCAGCCUUUGAGGAAAAGGAAAUGUAGUAUUUAUUGAGUACCUACUAUAUGCUAAGUAUUUUCACAUCCAUCAGUCUAUUAAACACUCACGAAAUCCCUCCAUUAUAUAAUGGAGAAACUGUGGCCCAAGGAAUUUAAGCAACAUGGCAAAGGUGACACAGCUAGUGUGAUGUAAGCCCAGGUCAGUAUGUCUCUAAAGUCCAUAUGUUUUCCUUUAUGUCAAGAGAGCGAGGGAACUUCUAAAGGGCUUGGAUGAGCAAAGGAGGUGAGAGGGAGUGAGGAACAAGAGCAGAGGUGCGGGAUAUACUGGGACUGAGAGUGAGGGUCAGAGGAGGUUGGGCUGGGAGAGACAAGGUGGAUUGAAGGGUCGGAGAAAAGGUGAGAAGCUAAGGGAGUGGGCAGCCCAGAGAUGAACAUGUUACUCAAAGCCUGGUCAUGGAACCUGUAGGCUCAGCUAGGCAGCAGGGACAGGCGCUGGCCUGUGGGCCUCCAGCAUUUGGGAAUUGGGAUCCUCCUAAGGAUCUGGGCAGGUGGGAGCUUGCAAGGAGGUUCCCAGCACUCCUUCUCCAUCCUUUGUGUUCUUUUCCUCUGAGGCUCACCGCAUGGUCUGAGAGCUCCUUGAGAGCAGAGGUCUCCAGCAGCCUGUCUGGAGGUUGGCCAAGAUGCCAUCUCACAAGUAUUUGCAGGAUGGGUGGGGUGGAAUUGAAAGGAAUCACAGAGCAGUGAGGUCACUCCUGUGUGUUGGGUGCUGCAUGCCCCAAGGAGACACCCAGUUCCUAUCCUGAGGGUGACCUCGGGGAGGGAUUCAGGUUUGGCAGUUCUGGGGUGCCCACAGAGCCAGCGCUCCUCUUCUCAGAGAGUGGGAAGCUGUGGGCAGGCAGCUGACCAGUCCUCAUUCACCACUCAGUUAAUUCUUGUGGUUCUGUGGUCCUGGCUGCAUGGCUGCGCCUCCUCCCUCCCCAGUCCCUUGGUGACUGACACAUACGUCCCACAUAGCACUGGGUGGCUCCAGGAGAGAGCCCUGGGUUGGAUGGAGGGGAGAUUGGUUCUUUACCAGCUGUGGGAUCAGGGCAGUCCCUCCCUUACCAGGUUGUGAGAGGUCAGAAUCCCUGCAGAUCCUUCAUUCAUUAAUUCUUGGCUUAAAAAUGUUUAUUUGCAGGAGAUGGAAAAUGCAGAGAAGGCAGAGUCUGAAAUUCUGGAGCUGCAGUUGAAUAACCAGAAGACCCUAGCCAAGUCACUUCACCUCUCUGAGCCUCAGUUUCCUCAUCUGUAAAAUGGGCGUGAGGUUCUCUUACAGGGAGCACAGCCAGAGGCAAGAGAGCAUCUCUUCCCACCAGCCCCGAGGCUUGAGGCAACAGCCACUUCACCUCUCUGAGCCGUGGUUUCCCUGUCUGCCAAAUGGAGAAACGCAGCGCUGGGUGAUAUCAAUUGUUUCUGCCUGCCCUGCGUCCCUUCCAUCUUCUUUUGAAAACAGCACCCAGUUUUCUUUAGGGGAACAUUCCUCUCCCACUCUCAGUUCACCUGGGCACACGGUCUGGGACUGGUCAGUCAGAAUCAGGACAUUCCAUCCUCCUGGUCACAGCAUUUGGUUCAGGAAUGGGCACACGAGCUAAGCCAGAGCAAUCAGAAGUGUCCAGGAGAGAGGCAUGCUCUUUUCCUAUGGGAUUGGGGCACCAGGACGCUGUAAGCCUGGAGCUGCCCCUCCACCUGCCUCAGAGUGAAGCCAGCAAGAGGAAAAAACAUCAGAGAGAGAGAGAACUUGACACCUGGAUGCUGCCAUACCUGUUCCCAGUUUUCAGCUUGGCAGCCAACACUUCGCCUUCUUUUGCCAAAAUCAGUUGGAAUUGGUUGUCUGUCAUUUGUAAUGGAAGUAAUCCUAAUUUAUUCAGGGGUUAAAAACACCUACGUUAAAAGAUUGCUGUAUGGAUCAAAAGAGAAGAUGAUGUAAGGGAAAAUGUUUUUCUAAACUGUAUGUGGCUGAAUGACGGUGAGUUAUUAAUCAGACCCUAAAGCAGGAACACACAUUCCACGAGUGAUGAGUCAGUCCAGUUCUAUCUGAGAGGCUCGAGAAAGCAGACUUUGAAGGUGCUUGCCUGAGCACUGAAGAGCUGUUUGGAAAUGCGAAUUCUUGCCCCCUAAAUUUUCAGUUCACUGGGUGCAUGUUUUCGAAGGAGGAGAUGUCCUUGCGUUGGGGCACAACUCUUUCCUAUGUGACUUGUUCCAAGGUUGGUCAUUUUACAAGAGGCCAUGGGACACAGAGGAAAGAUCCUGGCCUGUUUGGGCAAGUCUCUGCCUCACUCUGAGUCUGUCACCUGAGGGACUGGAUUGGACCUUCCAGUAGGGAGCUCCCAGCUCUGACCCGCUGUGGUCUUGAAAUUCUCAGACCCUAUCCUGGGACAAGGAAAGUCUGCUCACCUCUGGAGUCUGUAGCAUAUACUUGUUCCUGGAUUCUCCUGAGAAGCCACACAUCAAAACCACAGCCCACACCACAAAGAGACUCUGCGGAGUCUGGCAGACAAUGGAGGUCGGCUGGCCCAAUCUCCAUUUCCAGUUCCCUGUUCUUUUCUGCUUAAUCCCAAACUCAAUCUCCCAAUCUGCUUUGUAGCCAAGCGAGGUCACGUGACACAGUGCUGGUGAAAGAGAUGUAGUGGAACUCUGCUGAGGCUGCCUCUUCGCUUCCUAUCCUUUUCCUGCCUGAAACAAUGGCCCGAGGAUGCCGCACAUCUGAGGGUGAUCGAGCAGAAAGAUGGAGAGAGCCUGGUCUCCUGAUGGCAUUGUUGAGCAGCCGCAGAGGCCUGGGCUGCUGACCUCUGGACUUGUCAUUUGAGAAGAAUUCCCCCUCAUUUUCUUGCAUUUAGGCUUCCAUGUUUGGGACUUGAUAUAUGGAGCCAACUGCAUUCCUGGUGCACUAGGCUAGCAUUUGUCUGCAACCAUUCUCUUUUGGUGUCUAGUACAAGUGUUUUCACCUCUAGGACCACACUGAC